RNAcentral lists this ribosomal RNA (442 nucleotides) under uncultured bacterium. Its description in RNAcentral is "partial 16S ribosomal RNA". It matches the Rfam family "Bacterial small subunit ribosomal RNA", at positions 338 to 795 of the family's 1533-position model. The record is from RNAcentral.
CCUACGUGAGGCAGCAGUGGGGAAUAUUGGGCAAUGGGCGCAAGCCUGACCCAGCAAUGCCGCGUGAAGGAAGAAGGCUUUCGGGUUGUAAACUUCUUUGACAGGGGAAGAGCAGAAGACGGUACCCUUAAAACAAGCCACGGCUAACUACGUGCCAGCAGCCGCGGUAAUACGUAGGUGGCAAGCGUUGUCCGGAUUUACUGGGUGUAAAGGGCGUGUAGGCGGGGAGGCAAGCCAGAUGUUAAAUCUGGAGGCUCAACCUCCACAUUGCAUGUGAAACUGUUUUUCUUGAGUACUGGAGAGGCAGACGGAAUUCCUUGUGUAGCGGUGAAAUGCGUAGAUAUAAGGAGGAACACCAGUGGCGAAGGCAGCUUACCAAUCUAUAUCUGACGUUGAGGCACGAAAGCGUGGGGAGCAAACAGGAUUAGAUACCCCAGUAGUC